This 2906-nucleotide long non-coding RNA is filed under the name Medicago truncatula (barrel medic). RNAcentral's name for it is "long non-coding RNA (MTRU_LNC006134)". The record is from RNAcentral. Lineage: Eukaryota; Viridiplantae; Streptophyta; Magnoliopsida; Fabales; Fabaceae.
GGUGCAUUUCCCUUCACAGAGAUUGGAAAUCUUGAAGGGCAUCAGAUCUUUCAGUACAUAAACUCUACCAAGUAAGCAUUAUCAAUAUUUACAUAAACUCUACCAAGUAUGAAGUUAGUCUAACAAUGACAGUAAAUGAAAAAUGCAUUGACAAUUUUUAGGUUGCAGUCAAAAUUGCAGAAACAAUUACACCGUGGUUAUUGAAAUGACACAAAAUUGUGGACAAAUGCAGUCAGGAUGUAGUUGCGUGGACCUGGAUUAUCCAGUUAAUGACUGGCAUUUGUUAAUGCGUGUAACUGCGUCUUUUUUCAAAUGUAGGGAAUCCAGAUCUGUAGUUGCAAAGAGCCAGACACUUCCAAACCUACACUUUCUUGGACCAAAAUUUAAACUAUUUGAAUGCUAAAUGCCACUUUAUUUCAUAGUGGCUAUCUAAGCAGUUGUAUUUGAAGAAAAAUAAUAAUAAAAUAAAUUAAUUUAUAAAAAGUAACAUUUUAUGUUUGACUUGGUUGGAAAAAGUAAAAAAAAUUAUAUACUAGCUAUAUGCUCUCAGUCUGUCAUUUUUCUGUUACAGGAAACCAACUGCAACAAUUCUUCCAACAAUAGAAAUUCCUAGAUAUAGGCCUGCACCAAUUGUGGCAUCAUUCUCAUCUAGAGGCCCUUCAAGCCUAACAGAAAACAUUCUCAAGGUAAUUUUCUACUAUGUGUUCCAUCAUGCAUUUCAUUUAUUUAUCCAUGUAUCAAGAAUUACAUAAGGAUCUUAAGAACAGUGAACUAACUAUUUUUGCUAAUCUAUUGUCAAGCCUGAUGUCAUGGCUCCAGGAGUUGCCAUUUUGGCUGCCAUGAUUCCCAAUAGUGAUGAGCCAGGAAGUGUUCCAAUUGGGAAAAAGGCAUCCUUAUUUGGCAUAAAAUCUGGUACAUCUAUGGCUUGCCCACAUGUGACUGGAGCUGCAGCAUUCAUCAAAUCAAUACAUGGAAGAUGGACUCCUUCCAUGAUCAAAUCAGCAUUAAUGACAACAGGUACUCAAAGACGAAAACCUUUUUCUAAUCUUUUAAUUAAUGUAGCACCAAGACUUCAGAUUGAAAACAUGUAUGGUGUCCCACAUGUGUCAAUAUCCGGCGCUGACACAUAUGUUUACAUUCAUUUACUUCUAUUUUCUCAAUUUUUAUUAUUGGUGUCAACAUGUCAGUGUCGUGUCAGAUAUGUGUUUGUGUCAAUGUUUCAUAUACUUAUAUUGUUUUGUUGUUGUGUAAUUCUUCAGCUACAACCUACAAUAACAUGAGGAAGCCAGUGACCAAUAGCUCAAAUUACUUUGCCAACCCACAUGAAAUGGGAGUUGGAGAAAUUAAUCCACUCAAAGCUCUCAACCCUGGAUUAGUCUUUGAAACAAAUCUAGAAGACUACGUCAGAUUCCUUUGUUAUUACGGCUAUUCAAAUAAAAUCAUAAGGUCCGUGUGUAAGAGCAAUGUCACUUGCCCAAGGACCUCUCCAGACCUUAUAUCAAACAUCAACUACCCAUCAAUCUCCAUAGGAACACUAAAAAGGAAUCAGAAUACAAAAGUGAUCACAAGAACAGUUACUAAUGUGGGAACAUUUAAUGCCACAUAUGUUGCAAAGGUGCAUGCACCUGAAGGAUUGGUUGUUAAGGUCAUACCCAAUAAACUUGUGUUUUCAGAGAGUGUUCAAAGAAUUACCUAUAAAGUCUCAUUCUCAGGAAACAAGGCUCGCGGUGGAUACAAUUUUGGGUCGCUAACAUGGCUUGAUGGUCGACAUUACGUUCGUACACUAUUUGCAGUCAAAGUUGAAUAAAUUUUUUCACACGCACAUACAUAUUCAAAUAGAUAUCAUAAUUAUACGUGCAGCUCCUAGGAUCACAGCUUUUAUUGCAUCAACAGCUUCUUCCUCUAUAAGAUCUGCUGCGGAUGAUAUAACUGCUCCUAUGGAUCAAUAGAAUAGAACACAGGUAAGGACGAAUGCGAGAGAAUGAGACUCGUGCGCUCCUGCACUAUACGGCUUUUUGGCAUCGCCAUACCUGAUUGUGUAACAUUUUGGCUAACUUUAUGUUGUAUAUGGAAAUGGACUCUUUCCAUUUACCAGACUCCAUAAUUCAAAUAUAUAUAUUUGUCAAUGAGACAUAGUCUUGGCUGCCAAUUCUCUUGAUCUAUUUCACAUUAACGACGAGGCCACAAACAAUAAUGUUAUUGUCUCAGAGUAAAAGAUUUUCUAAAAUAAGAUCAAACACAAUCCUAGAAUGUUCUCAUGCGCACAAACAGUCAACACCGUCCAACAAAACACAUCAUCUUUGUCAGACAUUUCAUCAAACAGCAGAGAGAGUGAAUGCAUUGGUUUAAAUAAGUAACAGUCAAUCACAUCAAAUUAGUUUAACACAUUACUUAUAAGCUAGAUCAUGCUGCAAUGCUAACACACUCAACAAAGCAAUGUGAAUCUAGUUAUGAACACACACCAGAUGCAUAAUAACAUAAACAUACUCAACAAUGUGAAGUAGGCAUGGAUUCCACUUAGCAUAGAUUAAGGAGACAACGUCAAAUUCUACCACUUCUAAAAUUAUAUAUAAAUCAAAAUUCUAAGAUGAAUUUUAUUGAUAUCAAAAGGAAGAAAAUCGACCUAACAAAUGAAGAAUGACAAACCUAACAAUCCAAGAAUCUAGAGUGUUUAUGAUUCAUAAACAUAAACUGGUUCGAAACCAAUUUAAUAAAAGAGAGGGUGAUAGGUGGUGGUUAAGUGGCCGCCGGUGGUGGUCCACGGUUGAGCUCCGGCGACGCGAACGGCGGACCUCCGGUGAUUUCAAGGCGGUUCGAUUUAAAUUUCUGGUUUAGUUUAUGAACCAUUUAAUUCCAUUUAAUAUGGUUCAACUAAUUUGUGGUUCAGUUUGGUUUAGUUUAGUGAU